Long non-coding RNA from Thalassophryne amazonica, 147 nucleotides. RefSeq lists it as uncharacterized. NCBI's taxonomy places the organism in Eukaryota, Metazoa, Chordata, Actinopteri, Batrachoidiformes, Batrachoididae. The record is from RefSeq and is a predicted model, not a curated record. The transcript is spliced from 3 exons.
GAACAAGAGGAUGCUCUCUGACAAUUUAAUUUUAUGACCACCUUAAAAAUAGUGAGGCUCCAUAACAAAGCCCUGAUCCACAGAGAGACUGUGGAGAGAUGCCCCCUCAACCAGCUGGUUCUGGGACUCUCUACACAAACACAAGCA